Molecule: non-coding RNA, 3953 nt
Organism: Manis javanica (Malayan pangolin)
Lineage: Eukaryota; Metazoa; Chordata; Mammalia; Pholidota; Manidae
Source: RefSeq, a predicted model, not a curated record
UUUGAAGCUCCUUUACAAUAAUUUUUUAUGCAGUUAUUAAAUUAUGUACAUCUAUAUAUAGAGGAAAAGUUUCAAUGAUUAAAAAACAAGAAGGAAACCAAGAGAGGAAAGGACCUCUGUCUCCCAUGGGGCAGGGGUGGGCCUGCUCAGCAGUAAUGGGAAGAGCUUAAGUCCAGCCAGUGAUGGAAUCUUCCCAGCACUUCAUUUGUUUAUUGCAAAAUCAAACUGAUUUUCAUAAAAUGUUUUGAUAAAUAUAUAAAUAUUUCUGAUUAAUGUUUUCCACCAUGCCUGUAGGAAAGAGGGAGGUAGGUACUGAAAUCCUAUCAGCUGUUUGAAGGGUUGUCUUUUCUCUGUGGGAACUUCCCUAGAGGGUAGUUUGGGGCACCUCCCCCCCUUCCGCCAAACCCAUACGCACACCUUUUGGACCUCAGCUACAAAAGAGGAAUUUCUGGGCAACUUUUUCCAUGCUAGCAGCUGGGACCGAGAAGGUCAUAGCCAGGGUAAGCUGUGAGAACUCUGGGAAAAACGGGAGUUCUCCUGACCCACAGGUGGGACAGAUUACUGCCCCCUCCUCAGGGGGCUCUCCAACCCAUUCUCCCCACAGCAGAUCUUCCAAAGUGCCAAUCUGAUCUUAUCCUGCCUCCUUAAAACCAUUUUAUUGUCAUUCAAAUUAAACCAAUUUCUUCUCAGGCCACGAGAUGCUGCUGGACCCGGCAUCCUGGCACUCCAAGGCAACCAUGCCCACCUAGGUGGCGGUGCGGGUUCCCUGGGGUGCCUAGUUCUCCCUCUCUCUCUUCAGUUUUUGGCCUUUCACACAUCAUUCCCUUCCUUUGCAUGAAAACCUCUCCCCCCGACGCCACUUCUACCCUUCCCCAGGCCUCAGCCUGGAUGUGGCUUCUUCCAGGAAGCUUUCCGGGCUUCCCAGAGCUGAUUAAGGGUCCAAGCAGCCUAGGUGGCCUGGAUUUUGGUGUAUUGCUCCUCAGUCGGGCUGUCAGAUUCGAGGGCAGAGGCCACAUCCCAGCAGCCUGCGGUCUCUGCCUUGAGUCGGGACAUUUCGGGGCCGGGAUUCCAUGGUCCUCCGCCAGCUCUGUCUACGCUGGCGUAAAGCUGGUUCCGGCAACAGAGGCCGCGGGCCGCUGACUGGGACUGGCUAUUUCUGUGGGUGCGGCUGGGUCUUUGGGAGGAGGAAGACGCCCCCAGGAGUGUGCCCCUCACAAACAUGGGCGAAGCCCUCCGGCCUGCCCCUCACAAGGAUGGCAUUCGGUGGCUCCUUAUUGGUGCCGAGGGCUCCUCGGGCGGCGCUGAUUGGCGGAGGGCGGAGGCGAGGCGAGGCGGGGCGGGGCUUCUCCGUCCCAGUCCUGGCCCUCUCCCCUGCGCUGUGACUAUGUCGCAGGCACGGCGCCACUUGCGCGCCGCUCUCUUCCUAGCGGCAGCUUCUCAGCGCGGUGCAACGACCGGGACCGCAACGCGGCGAGGGUUGGCCGCGUGGCCCGCGCCUCAGGAGCCCGGCAUGGAGUACCAGGAUGCUGUGCGGACACUCAACACCCUGCAGACCAAUGCCGGCUAUCUGGAGCAGGUGAAGCGCCAGCGAGGUGACCCCCAGACCCAGCUGGAAGCCAUGAAGCUGUACUUGGCACGGAGUGGGCUGCAGGUGGAGGACUUGGACAGGCUGAACAUCAUUCAUGUCACUGGGACCAAGGGGAAGGGCUCCACCUGUGCCUUCGCUGAGUGUAUCCUCCGAAGCUAUGGCCUGAAGACGGGAUUCUUUAGGUCUGACUGCAGGUCAGGAGAAGGCCAGGGGGUGGGCAGAGGAGAGAGUCCCGAUGACGCCGGGUCUCCUGGCAGCUCUCCCCACCUGGUGCAGGUGCGUGAGCGGAUCCGCAUCAACGGGCAACCCAUAAGCCCCGAGCUCUUCACCAAGCACUUCUGGCGUCUCUACCACCGGCUGGAGGAGACCAAGGAUGGCAGCAGCUGUGUCUCCAUGCCUGCCUAUUUCCGCUUCCUCACGCUCAUGGCCUUCCACGUCUUCCUCCAGGAGAAGGUGGACCUGGCAGUGAUGGAAGUGGGCAUUGGUGGAGCUUACGACUGCACCAAUAUCAUAAGGAAGCCUGUGGUGUGUGGGGUCUCCUCUCUUGGCAUCGACCACACAAGCCUUCUGGGGGACACAGUGGAGAAGAUCGCAUGGCAGAAAGGGGGCAUUUUCAAGCCUGGUGUCCCCGCCUUCACCGUGGUCCAGCCUGAUGGUUCCCUGGCAGUGCUGCGGGACCGUGCCCAGCAGAUCUCAUGUCCUCUCUACCUGUGCCCACCACUGGAAGCCCUGGAGGAAGGGGGGCCACCACUGAUCCUGGGCCUGGAGGGAGAACACCAGAGGUCUAACGCCGCCUUGGCCUCACAGCUGGCCCGCUGCUGGCUGCAGCAAAAGACUCACCAGGGCAUUGGGGAGCUGAAGGCAUCCAGGCCAAGCCUCCUGUGGCAGCUUCCCCUGGCACCUGUGUUCCAGCUCACGUCCCACAUGCAGCACGGGCUUCGGAACACAGAGUGGCUGGGCCGGACGCAGGUGCUGCGACGCGGACCCCUCACCUGGUACCUGGACGGCGCGCACACCGCCAGCAGCGUGCAGGCCUGCGUGCGUUGGUUCCGCCAGGCUCUCCGUCGGGAGAGGCGGGGCGGCCUGCCUGAGGUGCGUGUCUUGCUCUUCAACUCCACCGGGGACCGGGAUCCCGCGGCCCUGCUGAAGCUGCUGCAGGUGGGCGGGGCGGGGCUGCAGGCGGCUCAGCCAUGGUUCUGGCUGUGUGACCCCCAGCGGUGCCUUCAUCCCUGAGCCUGUUUCCUCAACUGCAGAAUGGGGCUGAUUCCCGGGUCCUCUGAACUGUGCUGAGGAUUCGGUGUGAAAGCAUCGGGCACAUGGGAAAGUCUAGUCACAGGUCACUGCCCGCACCUACCGUGAUCAGACUCAAGCCAGCGGGGGGAGACCAGGUACCCUGUCAGUUUGACUACGCCGUCUUCUGCCCAAACCUAACAGAGCUGUCAUCAGUCAGCAAUGCAGACCAGCAGAACUUCACAGUGACACUGGACCAGGUGCUACUCCGCUGCCUUGAACACCAUCAACACUGGAGCCUCCUGGAUGAGGAGCAGGCCAGCCCGAACCUCUGGAACACCCCCAACGGAGAGCCUGGUGACCCCGCCUCCCUGCUGCUGGCACCCCGUCCACUGCACACCUACAGCCCCAGCUCCCUUGUCUUCAGCUGCAUCUCCCACGCCUUGCAGUGGAUCAGCCAAGGCCGGGACCCUGUCUUUCAGUCACCUGGUCCCCCACAGGACGUCCUCGCCCACCCCGUGGCUGGCAGUGGGGGCAGUGGGGCCAGUGUGCUCCGCGAGGCUGCUGCCAUCCACGUGCUGGUCACAGGCAGCCUGCACCUGGUGGGCGGUGUCCUGAAGCUGCUGGAGCCCUCCCUGUCCCAGUAACCAAGGCAGUGGGGUUGGAGGUGGGGACCACCCACCCCCGCCCUACAGUGUCUUUCUAAGAACUGCUCUAUUUGGUGCCUUUUGUUUUUGGCUUUCCUGAUUCUGUCAAGACUGGCCUAGAGACCCGGGCUCUGGGCAUUGAAAUAGAGGGCUAGGGGUGGGAGGCUGAGAUUGGACAAGCUCAGUCUCUGAGCCUAGGGUGCCUUUGGCCUCUCCUUCCUCCCAGCUGAUACAGCCAGGGGGCUUCCCAGUUCUCCCACUAUUGUAUAAUGGGCCUGAGUUCCAGCCUGUCUCUCCUCCCACACUGCCUUACUUUGUGAGCUUACUGUGUGAGCUGCCUGGCAGGCCUAGGGUCCUGCUGGAUCUUGGUAGAUAGGUCCCCUCCUCCCACUGGCCUUCUGGGAAAGAGAUGGCCUUUGUCUGAGGCCCCUUGGGGACAGGGAGGCUGGGGCGAAUUAAAGCCUUUAACUUUUUAAAAAGAGAAAUGA